This 1359-nucleotide long non-coding RNA is filed under the name Podarcis muralis (Common wall lizard). RNAcentral describes it as "lncRNA (ENSPMRG00000009055.1)". The record is from RNAcentral. Lineage: Eukaryota; Metazoa; Chordata; Lepidosauria; Squamata; Lacertidae.
CAUAACUGCCCUAUUGGAGAGACUAAGUGCAUAACAUUUGCUGGUACCAUGCAGCAAGUGGGUACAACUCUACGGUUGGCUGCUUUCAAAGGAUGUGCAACAUCAGAUUUCUGUAAUUUUAUAACAACAAUCCCAACAGGAGUAAAGCAAAGUCUGAAUGGCUUGCUGAGGUUCAAUGUCACCCAAGCGACAUGUGUUGAUGCCCAGCCAUCAUCCUAUACUUCUGGCCUAUAGAUGUGCCCUUCGUGGGACUUGGGAGGAAACUGUGCUAUCAGCGGCAGGGUGUGGAAGAUCUCUGGAGAAGCUGGAGGCAGGUGCAAGAGGGCAGGAAAUUGAGGUUUGGGAGAUGUAGUUAGAGAAAAUAUGGCACAGGGAUUUCCAUUUGAAUUGUUAUCUGAAUAAAUUGAUAAAGCAGACAAAUUCUGUUUCUUGCAUUGGGGCUUUUCAAGUGAAUAAUUUCUAUGCAGUGAUGGCACAAUGAAUGUUAACUUCUGAAGGCCAAGAACGAGAAGAAAACUGAAAAUUGUAAUCUGGGAUAUGAAUAGUUUUCCCCUAAUGGCACAGGUUUUAGUUUUGUUUUUUCUUUAGUAGGGGGAACUAGUUCCACUAGGAAAGCUGAAUGAAGAGAAAAGCAUUACACUUUCUGGCUUUGUUAUGUGCUCAGUGUAGAAGGCUCAUUUUUCCAUUACACCACUAUUAUCUGCAAAUAUGUAAAGAAACUAGAGAUCAGAUAAAAGAUCUCAGUUGUCUAUCCAGUUACAUCCUGACUUAACUAGUGACUGAUUUCUUUGGCUCACCCACCCCCACCAUUCAAAUGUUUCCAGAAGCUUUGAUUCUGAGGAAUAUUCAAUUAAAAAUUCACUAGCAGCUUGUACCUGGCAGUUCUCAGGAAUUCCAAGGAAACAAAAAUCUGUAUGGUUUGGAAAGGUCUAUAGACUGAAACUUCCUCCUUGAUGUCAGGAACCCUCAAGACAAAUUGUCCCAAAACGAUUCACAUUCUAAAGCCAAAACACAGGUGUAGCAUGAAAGGCGAGGUCCAGACAUAAUCCAAGGUCAAAACACAGUAAGUCCUUUGUUUCUUAGGGGUAAAGGCAUAAUGCAAAGCCAGAUCCCUUAAGGGUGCCCUGAACCCAAUCAUGUUUCUGUAUACUUAAUGUGGGGUGCAUGAGUUGUUAGGGGAGGGGUUUUACCUCUGGUGGAGGGCACGUUGUGCUCAUUCUGGGGUAGUUUGUCCACCUUUGCCCCCCCUUGCACUCUGCUCUCACCUGUGGCUGCUGGAAGCAAGUGACAGCAUCCACACCCCAGGAAACUGGCUUUGAAUGGCUAGCUAAACCAGGUGAGGGAUAAACCAGCUGACCC